Molecule: ribosomal RNA, 450 nt
Filed under: uncultured bacterium
Lineage: Bacteria
Description: partial 16S ribosomal RNA
Rfam family: Bacterial small subunit ribosomal RNA
Source: RNAcentral
GUGGGGAAUCUUCCACAAUGGACGAAAGUCUGAUGGAGCAACGCCGCGUGAGUGAAGAAGGGUUUCGGCUCGUAAAGCUCUGUUGUCGGGGACGAAUGUGCAGUAUUUGAAUAAAGUACUGCAAUGACGGUACCUGACGAGGAAGCCACGGCUAACUACGUGCCAGCAGCCGCGGUAAUACGUAGGUGGCAAGCGUUGUCCGGAAUUAUUGGGCGUAAAGGGAGCGCAGGCGGGAAGGUAAGUCGGUCUUAAAAGUGCGGGGCUCAACCCCGUGAUGGGAUCGAAACUAUCUUUCUUGAGUGCAGGAGAGGAAAGUGGAAUUCCUAGUGUAGCGGUGAAAUGCGUAGAUAUUAGGAGGAACACCAGUGGCGAAGGCGCCUUUCUGGACUGUGUCUGACGCUGAGAUGCGAAAGCCAGGGUAGCGAACGGGAUUAGAUACCCCUGUAGUCC